RNAcentral lists this transfer RNA (76 nucleotides) under Acinetobacter sp. ANC 4470. RNAcentral's name for it is "tRNA-Lys". It matches the Rfam family "tRNA". Rfam says of the family: Transfer RNA (tRNA) molecules are approximately 80 nucleotides in length. Their secondary structure includes four short double-helical elements and three loops (D, anti-codon, and T loops). Lineage: Bacteria; Pseudomonadati; Pseudomonadota; Gammaproteobacteria; Moraxellales; Moraxellaceae. The record is from RNAcentral.
GGGUUGUUAGCUCAGCGGGUAGAGCAGUAGACUCUUAAUUUAUUGGUCGAGGGUUCGAGCCCCUCACAACCCACCA